Molecule: ribosomal RNA, 200 nt
Filed under: uncultured bacterium
Lineage: Bacteria
Description: partial 16S ribosomal RNA
Rfam family: Bacterial small subunit ribosomal RNA
Source: RNAcentral
AGAGUUUGAUCCUGGCUCAGGACGAACGCUGGCGGCGUGCUUAACACAUGCAAGUCGAACGGUGAUCCACUUCGGUGGUGAUCAGUGGCGAACGGGUGAGUAACACGUGGGCAACCUGCCCCUAGCUCUGGGAUAACCCCGGGAAACCGGGGCUAAUACCGGAUACGACCUCGAGCGGCAUCACUCGAGGUGGAAAGGAU